Molecule: ribosomal RNA, 465 nt
Filed under: uncultured bacterium
Lineage: Bacteria
Description: partial 16S ribosomal RNA
Rfam family: Bacterial small subunit ribosomal RNA (bases 49-465)
Source: RNAcentral
GGGGGGGGGGGGGGGGGGGCGGGGGGGGGGGGGGGCGGGCGGGGGGGGGGGGGCGGGGGUGCUCAAGCGGGGGGCGAACGGGUGAGUGACGCGGGAGGGCCCGGCCGCAAAGAGGGGGACAGCGGUUGGAAACGACUGCUAAUACCGCAUAAGCCCACGACCCGGCGUCGGGUCGAGGGAAAAGGAGCAAUCCGCUUUGAGAUGGCCGCGCGUCCGAUUAUCCAGUUGGUGCGGUAACGGCCCACCAAGGCGACGCUCGGUAGCCGGACUGAGAGGUUGAACGGCCACAUUGGGAGUGAGACACGGCCCAGACUCCUACGGGAGGCAGCAGUGGGGAAUAUUGCACAAUGGGGGAAACCCUGAUGCAGCGACGCCGCGUGGAGGAAGAAGGUCUUCGGAUUGUAAACUCCUGUUGUUGAGGAAGAUAAUGACGGUACUCAACAAGGAAGUGACGGCUAACUACGU